GGGCCCAUAGCUCAAUGGCAGAGCAACCGGCUCAUAACCGGUCGGUUCUUGGUUCGAGUCCAAGUGGGCCCA
Molecule: transfer RNA, 72 nt
Filed under: Anaerolineae bacterium
Lineage: Bacteria; Bacillati; Chloroflexota; Anaerolineae
Also listed under: 1 other name
Description: tRNA-Ile
Rfam family: tRNA
About the family: Transfer RNA (tRNA) molecules are approximately 80 nucleotides in length. Their secondary structure includes four short double-helical elements and three loops (D, anti-codon, and T loops).
Source: RNAcentral